Molecule: ribosomal RNA, 819 nt
Filed under: Massilia sp. LMR254
Lineage: Bacteria; Pseudomonadati; Pseudomonadota; Betaproteobacteria; Burkholderiales; Oxalobacteraceae
Description: bacterial SSU rRNA
Rfam family: Bacterial small subunit ribosomal RNA
Source: RNAcentral
UGCAGUCGAACGGUAACAGGGAGCUUGCUCCGCUGACGAGUGGCGAACGGGUGAGUAAUAUAUCGGAACGUACCCAAGAGUGGGGGAUAACGUAGCGAAAGUUACGCUAAUACCGCAUACGAUCCAAGGAUGAAAGCAGGGGACCUUCGGGCCUUGUGCUCCUGGAGCGGCCGAUAUCUGAUUAGCUAGUUGGUGAGGUAAAGGCUCACCAAGGCGACGAUCAGUAGCUGGUCUGAGAGGACGACCAGCCACACUGGAACUGAGACACGGUCCAGACUCCUACGGGAGGCAGCAGUGGGGAAUUUUGGACAAUGGGCGCAAGCCUGAUCCAGCAAUGCCGCGUGAGUGAAGAAGGCCUUCGGGUUGUAAAGCUCUUUUGUCAGGGAAGAAACGGUGGGGGCUAAUAUCCUCCACUAAUGACGGUACCUGAAGAAUAAGCACCGGCUAACUACGUGCCAGCAGCCGCGGUAAUACGUAGGGUGCAAGCGUUAAUCGGAAUUACUGGGCGUAAAGCGUGCGCAGGCGGUUUUGUAAGUCUGACGUGAAAUCCCCGGGCUCAACCUGGGAAUUGCGUUGGAGACUGCAAGGCUAGAAUCUGGCAGAGGGGGGUAGAAUUCCACGUGUAGCAGUGAAAUGCGUAGAGAUGUGGAGGAACACCGAUGGCGAAGGCAGCCCCCUGGGUCAAGAUUGACGCUCAUGCACGAAAGCGUGGGGAGCAAACAGGAUUAGAUACCCUGGUAGUCCACGCCCUAAACGAUGUCUACUAGUUGUCGGGUUUUAAUUAACUUGGUAACGCAGCUACGCGUGAAGUAGACCGCC